CGAAAGCCUGACGGAGCAACGCCGCGUGAGGGAUGAAGGCCUCUGGGCUGUAAACCUCUUUUCUCAAGGAAGAAGACCUGACGGUACUUGAGGAAUAAGCCACGGCUAAUUCCGUGCCAGCAGCCGCGGUAAUACGGGAGUGGCAAGCGUUGUCCGGAAUUAUUGGGCGUAAAGCGUCCGCAGGCGGCCUUGUAAGUCUGUCGUUAAAGCGUGGAGCUUAACUCCAUUUAGGCGAUGGAAACUACAAGGCUUGAGUGUGGUAGGGACAGAGGGAAUUCCCGUUGUAGCGGUGAAAUGCGUAGAUAUCGGGAAGAACACCAGUGGCGAAGGCGCUCUGCUGGCCAUAACUGACGCUCAUGGACGAAAGCCAGGGGAGCG
RNAcentral lists this ribosomal RNA (378 nucleotides) under uncultured cyanobacterium. RNAcentral describes it as "bacterial SSU rRNA". It matches the Rfam family "Bacterial small subunit ribosomal RNA", at positions 376 to 770 of the family's 1533-position model. The record is from RNAcentral. Lineage: Bacteria; Bacillati; Cyanobacteriota.